This 444-nucleotide ribosomal RNA is filed under the name uncultured Alphaproteobacteria bacterium. RNAcentral describes it as "bacterial SSU rRNA". It matches the Rfam family "Bacterial small subunit ribosomal RNA", at positions 1066 to 1532 of the family's 1533-position model. Lineage: Bacteria; Pseudomonadati; Pseudomonadota; Alphaproteobacteria. The record is from RNAcentral.
CGUGAGAUGUUCGGUUAAGUCCGGCAACGAGCGCAACCCACAUCCUUAGUUGCCAGCAGUUCGGCUGGGCACUCUAGGGAAACUGCCCGUGAUAAGCGGGAGGAAGGUGUGGAUGACGUCAAGUCCUCAUGGCCCUUACGGGUUGGGCUACACACGUGCUACAAUGGCAGUGACAAUGGGUUAAUCCCAAAAAGCUGUCUCAGUUCGGAUUGGGGUCUGCAACUCGACCCCAUGAAGUCGGAAUCGCUAGUAAUCGCGUAACAGCAUGACACGGUGAAUACGUUCCCGGGCCUUGUACACACCGCCCGUCACACCAUGGGAGUUGGUUCUACCUGACGACGCUGCGCUAACCUUCGGGGGGCAGGCGGCCACGGUAGGAUCAGCGACUGGGGUGAAGUCGUAACAAGGUAGCCGUAGGGGAACCUGCGGCUGGAUCACCUCCUU